Molecule: ribosomal RNA, 53 nt
Filed under: Piper fimbriulatum
Lineage: Eukaryota; Viridiplantae; Streptophyta; Magnoliopsida; Piperales; Piperaceae
Description: partial 18S ribosomal RNA
Rfam family: Eukaryotic small subunit ribosomal RNA
Source: RNAcentral
AGAAGUNGUAACAAGGUUUCCGUAGGUGAACCUGCGGAAGGAUCAUUGUUGAU